GUGGAACCGAGAGAGCCUCUCCAGGGAGCAGCGUACGCAGUCCAGAAGGCUGCAGUAUUUCCUCCAAGAAAAAAAAAAAAAAAGGCUGCUUCAACCCCUGCUGCAAGCAAAGUUCCGAUUCCCUCUGCUGGCUAUCUCGAAUAGCAAGCGAUUUUUGCAGCAACGCUGCUGCCGCUGGAACUGAACCUGAAGAACUCAAAUGCGGGCGGUGGAUUAUUUCUUAUCCCUCCUCCAUCUACCCCACACAAGAGCUGCUUUUUGUUCCUCUUUUUGCCAAGUUCCAAGGGUCCCUUUUCAAGGCGGGCGAGGCUAAAAUUAGAUGUGCCAGCUGUGUUUUGCUGCGAGUGCUCACGCAUGCCCAAAGCGUGGGCAGACCAAUACUGAGCUCUUUUCUACUUUGUCAAGUCGGCUCUGUUCUCCUGAGCCCAGAGUCUCCUAUUUAGAUAAAAGGUCCCUGGUACAAAUCCAGCUUCCUAGUCAAGAAGAACAGAGAAUUUGGGCUCAGUGCACACAUGGUGUCCAUCCACAUACAAGCCGCACCACCCCUAAAGCAACUGGCUUCCACCGAGGGGAACUGGUUUCUGGAAGCUGUGUGAGUGCAUACGUGUUCCUUGGAUAAAAAUAAGGAUGGCAGGAGUCUUGAGACUUCUCUUCUUUUGGUGUGGAUUCCGGAACUCCUUUCUGAAGCAAGAGGCAAAUAUCUCUCAGCAGAGAAUGCCAAGACCAAUCACUUAACCAUGGCAAUCUUACUCAGCAUGGUAAUUCCCACCCUGAUGGUCCCAAGAUGGCUGCAGCAGUUUCAGCCAUGUUAUCCUAAUCCACCAACAUCUGGAGGUAUCUGUCUUUUCAAUCUCCAUCUAUUACAAAUGUAGGAUACUUUUACCAGAAGGUCCUCCUCUAGACUACUACUCAUGUUUCAUUGGACAAAUUUGGUCCCAUGGAAUUUCUUAAGUCAUUUACUGAUGAGGAAAGUGGAAUUAUCAUGACUGGAUUAGACUACCUAAGAUUCACCACUCCUGAGCCUGGAGAAAGAUAAUUUUCUCAGAGCAAACAACUGCAUAUGGCUGAAGAUAGGAAUGAACUAUAAAACAAAAUUGGAGUCCUCCAGGAAAGAAAGGGGGAAUUAAAGGGAAAUGAUUGUGUAGGCAAAACACAAUAGUCUCCAAUGCCAAAUAAACUUUGUUUUGUUACUCUCUCAUCUACUUUAUCACAUUUUUUUCCUUGUUACCCUUCUCACCUUAAUUCAUCACCAAUAAGCCUCUUUAAAUCAAAUUUUUGAUGGUCAUCCAUAAAUCUCCAAGAAAUUGAGUGAUAAUUAACAUUACAGUGAUAAUGAGCUUAAGGUCUUGUUUCUUCUUGAAAGCUGGGAGGGUAGGAGGGGAGUGAAUGGUAAGAAAUUACUUAGUGGGGGCAAUACUCAUUAUUUGGGUGAUGGGUUACCCUAUAAGUCCAGACUUUACCAUUAUACAAUAUAUCCAUGUAACAAAACUGCAUUUGCACCAUUUAAAUGUAUACAAAUUUUUAAAAAGAAAGCUCUAAAAGAUAUAAACAUCUUCAAGAUCUAUAGGAAUAAAGCAGUCAUGGGGGUGUGGCAGGCAAGAAAGGAUUUAAGGCCCAGUUCGCUCCUAUGACCUCCUCACUUUAUCUCCUAUCACACUACUCUGCACACUCUGUUAUGGCCACGUCGGCCUCUCUGCAGUUCCUCUAAGAGGCCAGCAUUCUCUCACCCUGGGGACUUUGUACUUUACUUCCCUGUGCCCACACCAAGCUUUCUUCAUAUAACCAUGUUACUUAAUUCCUCCCUUACUAUGAGUUUCUGCUCACGUGCCACCUUAUUAAAGAGGUUUGUCCUGACCAUCUUAUGUAACAUAGCAACUUUAUUUCAUUCUUUGUCCUAUUACCCCAGUUUAUAUAUGCUUAUGGCUCUUAUAACCACCUGACAUGGUAUGCAUUUAUUUAUUGUUCUUAUAAGUAAUUAUCCAUGAGACAAGUGUUUAUAUUUUGUUCACAGUUUGUUUCUCUGAGCCUAGUAUAGUGCCUGACACAUAUAGGCAUGUCUUAAAUAUGUAUAGAAUGAACUGAUGGGUGGCUACUGGCCAUGGGAAACUUAGAUGAUCUUUCUGUUCCUUAACGUAGAUCACAACAUAAUUCAAGAGGUACCUCAUCCUGGGCAGGCAUCUUUCUCUAUGAUAAUCAGUAAUACCCAUAGUAAGCCCAAGUAAGUCGAUAUCUUUCUUCUUUCAUCUACUUUCCUCUAAGCAAGACCCUCAUUUUUUAGGGUGAGCUGUUUAUGUUGAAAGCUGAACAGCAUCUAUCAUUCUAAUAAGAAAUAAAAGGCAAAUCCCAACAGAGUAGUGACUGAGACACAUCCUACAACUUAUAAUACUCUAAUUAGAAAAUGUGUUUUAAUUCUGAUUCAAUUGUAUUUUAUAUGCCAGAAAUAGUCAUAAAAACGUAUGUCAAAAUCAUGAAGAAAUAAGGUAAUAUAAUUAGUCAAUAGUGAUUUAAAAAAUAAGUUUAGUAUGGCUUGGAAUUUCCAUUUGAUGUGGAACUUAAGCCACAUAUGCACAAAAUGUUUCGGAGACUUCCAGGCAAAAUGGCAAUAGGAAUACUAGACAUAAUUGCCAGCAGAAAAACAUGGAAACGUCUAUAUACAAGAUUGAAAGGAAGACAGCCAGACUACAGUGAUAGGCAGGUGAGGGAACAGCCUAUGUGCAUUACAUAUGAAAGACGUCCCUGCAGAACCUAGUAACAUCCACUGUCUGUGUGCCGGCAGUGGUGGUAGGUGAAUAUCUGAACCCCACUAGUAUUGCUGGGAAGACUGUGAGAUAGGGACCACGAAGACCAGCCUGUCCAGGCCUAUGCUAGGUGAGAAGAGCCCAGUCAGCAUGGGAAAGGGAUCAUCUUAGAAUGAGGUCACCCUUGCCUGGCAAAGAGAAGGACCCUGGUCCCCUGUCUCUGGGUUUCCUCACCAAACUCAGAGGAUAAAUUCUUUGGGAAAUUUCUCAAGUUAAGGGGAUCUGAAGUGGUAAGAUGAAGGCACAGCAAACCCAAACAGAUUUCUUUUCUGAAAAGAGUUCAGCAAACUGCCCCUCAAUCUCUGACAGAACCCAUUUUAAUUCUCAAUUCUGAGUAUUGAGUAACAAGUUUGAUUUAUGAAAUGCUAUGUAACUUUUGUUUUAAAUAUCACAUUCUCAACUAACAUUUGAGGAUGUAAGAGAUCCUUUUAUUAUAUGUGUUAUAUUAAGUGAAAAAUGUGUAAACAAGUAGGUGAUUUAGGAUUACAACCUGAAAAUAUUUUAUACAACUAAACACACAAAAAUUGAUACAAAAGUAUGGCACAGAUAUACAGUUGGCACUCAGUAUCCAGGGGGGAUUGGUCCCAGAACCCUUUGUGAUACCAAUAUCUGUGGAUGCUCAAGUCCCUUAAUAGUGUAAUAGUGUAGUAUUAGCAUAUAACCUAUGCACAUCUUCCCAUAUAUGUGAAAUCAUCUCUAGAUUACUUAUAAUGUCUCAUACAAUGUAAAUGCUAUGUAAAUAGUUGGAAUACUGUAUUGUUUAGAGAAUCAUUACAAGAAAAAAAAGUGUUUGUACCUUUAUAGCACAGACGCAGCCAUCCAUUUUUUUCUCCCAAAUAUUUUCAAUCCAUGAUUGGUUGAAUCCACAAAUGUGGAGUCCACUGAUGUGGAGGGCCAACUGCACUCCAUUAUGGCAACUGUAUCAAAAUCGCAAAGUUAUUUUUAUUCUUACUUUUCAUAUGUUAGGUGAGAAGAAACUUAAUUGGCCUUUUAUUCAGGAUAUAUCCAGAAUCCAAACACUAUCUACAAUUGCUGCCACUCUGGCCUGAACCACCAUCAUUUUUUUUUUCUCAAAUUGCUGCAUUAGCCUCCUAAUAGUUCUACUGGCUUCCCUUCUUGCCCACUGUGUGCCCCAUGGUGUAGUUUCUACACAGCAGACAGAGUGGCCUUUCAAAGACGUAAGUCAGAUUUCUCUGCUCAGAACUUCCCAGUGACUGCACAUCACUGUCAUUUCAUAAGCCUCUCUAUUAACUAGUCAGACAUUAUGUUCUGCUACUGUUCUUGUACUGACUCUUGUCCAACCACACUGACCUCCUUGUGGGUCCUUAGAUUUGACAAUCAUGUUCUUUCCUUUGCACGGGCUGUUCUUGCUGCCUGGAAUUCUUCCUUUAGUUAGCACUCUCUUCAAGCCUUUAAUGUAACCUUCUCAAGAAAUCCAGCUACCCCCUCAACACACCCCCUCCUCCUUCUAGUCUUGCCAAAUAUCUCCAAACUUCCUUCCCAGAGUCAUGUUGCACAGUUCCAGGGGAUGGGUGUCUCAUAAAAUAGAAUGUGAAUGAUACUUACUGAAAUUGUGUGGAAUGUGAAGACCUCACUUUAUUUUUCUCGAUAGUUCUUAUCACCUUUUAAUACAUUAUAUCAUUUACUUUUUAAAAAUUGUCUAUCUCCUCCUCUAGGAUCAUCAGCUCCAUGAGGGUGGGAAUGUCUGUUGUACUUACUGCUAUAACCUCAGUUCCUAGAACAAUGUCUGGCACAUAGUACACGCUAAAAAAUAAAUGAAUCACAGGGUAGUAUA
RNAcentral lists this long non-coding RNA (4593 nucleotides) under Homo sapiens (human). RNAcentral describes it as "HSALNT0052422". Lineage: Eukaryota; Metazoa; Chordata; Mammalia; Primates; Hominidae. The record is from RNAcentral.